This is a long non-coding RNA of Sinocyclocheilus grahami, 5039 nucleotides long. Ensembl annotates it as ral GTPase-activating protein subunit alpha-2-like. Lineage: Eukaryota; Metazoa; Chordata; Actinopteri; Cypriniformes; Cyprinidae. The record is from Ensembl.
CCGGUCUAAAUCUGGCAGGUUGUCCUCACGGAGGGAGGGGGCUUUUUUCAGAGGAUCUGGCGCCCUGCGCUCCGGCGCUCCGUUGCUCAGUCAGUCAGGCAGCUGCUGUUCUGCACACAUACACACAAGAGACACACAGGUCUGAAUGGUGAAAGGAAGGUAAAAGCGGCUACAGAAUCGCCUUUUACAGCGGAAUGUUCACUCGAAGGGGUUAUGGAGACGUCAAGAAAUCUACACAGAAAGUUCUGGACCCAAAGAAGGAUGUUUUCACGCGUCUGAAGCAUCUGCGCGCGCUGUUAGAUAUUACUGACAGGAAUGAACUGAAGGCAUUUUUUGAAACCAACUGCUCACAGAUUUAUUUUAUCUUCUAUGAAAAUUUCAUUACACUGGAAAGUAACUUAAAGCAAAAAGGGAACAAAUCUCAACGGGAGGAGCUGGACUCCAUCCUCUUUAUUUUUGAAUUACUGAUUGUGUGUCAUUUUAAACACUUUUCUUUUAUAGGUUCUAUUCUCAAAAAACUUUUGCACACUGGAAACUCGUUCAAGAUCCGCUGUGAGGGCAUGCGUCUGUUCCUGCUCUGGCUGCAGGCUCUGCAGAGGAACUGUGCCGAAGAGCAGCUUCUCAUCUUCGCCUGUCUGAUCCCAGGAUUCCCUGCUGUACCCUCAUCCAGAGGACCCUGCACACUGGACACCAUCAUAUACAACCCCUUUUCCAACCCGCCUGAUGCCAAGAUUGUGCCAGAGGAGAUCAGCCCACUGGUGCCUGCGGUUCCUGGAGAGAAGGUGGCAGAAGACCACACCUGCUCUGUCCUCCAGAUUGUGCUCAAGGUCAUGGUUCUCCAGGCAUCCAGCUUGGACUGGAAAAACAAAGAGAGCCAAGACACAGGCUUCAGAUUUCUCUUUUCCCUGUUCAAGAAGUACUACCUGCCUCAACUCUUCCCCACUUUCACAAAACAAACCAACCUCUACAAGCCACAAUUAGAUCUUCCCAUUCACAGACCAAAGCCCCUCUACGUCCCUGUGACGCGUAACAGUGAGAGCACGUACUGCACUAGGGAUCAGUACCUGGCUCCCCGCGUGGCCUUCAUCACGUGGCUCGUUAACUUCUUCCUGGAGAAGAAGUAUGUGAACUCGGCCACGAGCAGCUCUAAGAACGGAGGAGAGGUCCUUCCUAAGAUCAUCCAGACUGUGACUGCGGGCGGGAUCAGUCAGGAGAAGAGCGCAGACUCUGAGCCCAACGGUCCUGUGGAACAGGAGAAGAAUCACUCCAACAGCAGCACGCUAUCAGACCGCCGGGGCAGCAACUCCAGUCUGUGUAGCAUCGAGGAGGAGCAUCGCACCGUCUACGACAUGGUGCAGUCCAUCCUGCUCUCCACACGAGACAACGUCAAUUUCGUCAAUGAGGUCUUCCAUCAGGCUUUCCUUCUGCCGGCCUGUGAAGCUUCAGCCACUCGCAAGGUGAUCAAAGUAUAUAGGAAGUGGAUUCUGCAGGAAAAACCUAAUUUCAUGGCUGAGCCUGAGACAACAAGCCAGGAGGAAGAUGGAGAGGAAGAGCACCUCAUCUCUGAGACGGACACUGCACACGUCUUGGAGACUCAUGGACACAAACGAUCAUCCAGUUGGGGGCGCACUUACUCCUUCAGCAGUGCCAUCAGCAGAGGCUGUCUGACUGAAGAACAGAACCAGGACACGAAGGCUGGCAUCCAGCCCACCCUGCAGGUGUUCCUGACAAACUCUGCCAACGUGUUCUUGUUGGAGCCGUGUCAGGAUGUGCCCAAGCUGCUGGAGAACCAGCUGGAGGUGUGCCGAGCUGUGCUCAGUGUCUACCGGCACAUUAUUAUGGAGCAAAACAUGAACCGCCCGACCUGGGAGCAGUUGUUGCAGGUGUUGUUGAGAAUCACAGAAGCAGUAAUGAAGAGACCACAGGAGGACCAAAAAAAAGACACGUUCGCCCACAGCCUGGCCAGCAUCCUCUUCAAAACGAUCUUCGUGGCGUGGGUGCGGGCCAACCUGACCGUGUUUAUCUCUCGUGAGCUGUGGGACGAGCUGCUGGCUGUGCUGUCCUCUCUCAGCCACUGGGAGGAGCUGGUGUUCGAGUGGGCCAGCAUCAUGGACUCUCUCACCGCAGUACUGGCCCGUCACGUCUACAGCCUGGACCUCCACAACCUACCGCUGGACAAGCUCUCAGAGCAGAAGGAAAAGAAGCAGCGGGGCAGGGGAGUGAUGCAGGACUCCCAGAAGUCUACAGAUGCAGCACGGUCGUUCUCCUUGAGCUGGAGGAGCUCUGGAGAUCAGGUGGGCACUCAGGAACCCAUGAGGUUCCGCAGUGCCACCACCACUGGAGCUCCCGCUGUGGAGAAAGCUCGCAACAACGUUAGGCAGAAAGCUUCAGUCAAUAUAACCUCUCUUCUGUCAGGUGAGAGUGUGAGCAGUGAGACGUCUAAUGGUUAUCUGAACGAUGCUGAGGUGGGUCUGCUGGCGUGGCACGCGGUCGAGGAGGAGCCGGACUCUCCCUCUACACAUGACAUGAGCAUGAGUGUUACUGUGGACACAGUGAGCCAGAGGAGCCUCCUGCUCAGCCACACUGAAGCACUGGCAGACAGCAGUGAGUUUCUGGCUGAUGACGUCAGCAUCAUCGCCGGCGGCAGUUUGACCGGUUGGCACGCCGACUCGGCCUUCGUUCUCUGGAGGAGGAUCUUGGGGAUUCUAGGUGAUGUGAACAGCAUCCGCUGUGCCCGCAUCCACGCCAAGGUCUUCAGUUACCUUUACGAGCUCUGGCACAAGCUGGCCAAGAUCAGAGAUAAUCUUGGGAUCAGAGUGGAGACAGACACAGCCGUGGCCAGACCCUUGUUCAUCCCUCCUCUGCGCAUGCUGGCCUCUUGGCUCUUCAAGGUAAUGCACAGACAUUUUCCAUCAGGAACGUUCUCUGACUACCUUGUGAACAUCCUUUUGAAGACCGCGCGCAAUGAGACAUGUGAAGGAGCCAGGUGUGUAGCAGUCUGCAGUCUGGGGCUGUGGGUGUGUGAGGAGCUGAGACAAACAGAAACUCACCAUCAGGUCAAAGAUGCCAUUAACGUCCUGGGUGUCACGCUGAAGGUGAUUACAUUUGAUCUUAUUGUUGGAAAGAUUAUCUGGAAUGCAGUUGAGUCAUUUGAAACAACUCAUUUUCAAAUGACAAUUUCCAUCUUGAGUGUUCUCGUUCCCUUUCUUUUGCCAAAAUUAAGCUUCAGGAGAGGAACAAGGUUUCCAUCUCUAAAAGCAUGUGCUGAACUGUUGGGAGUUUAUGUGCUGCACACUUGUGUAUCAGGGUCUAACCUGCACACUCAACAGAGCCACUACCUCCUCAGCCUUGCUGAUCUGUCGACAGACUAUGAACCCUUCCUUACUUUAGGCAAUGUCAAGAGCUUUGAACCACCACCCAUCCACAAUGUUAUGGGAGACUUUGGAAAUCUCCUCACAGUGGCUGAAGAAAAGAAAAGGAGAAGCCUAGAGCUGAUUCCUCUGACUGCUCGGAUGGUAAUGACACACCUGGUCAAUCAUUUGGGCCACCAUCCUCUCAGUGGCGGCCCCGCUCUCUUAAACAGCCUGGUCAGUGAGAACCACGACAACCCCUACGUAGAGUCCUCCGAGCUCUCCUCUGAAGUCUUCAAAAGCCCCAAUCUGCAGCUCUUCGUCUUCAGUGACAGCACACUAGUCUCAUACCUGCAGAUCCCCUCUGACAGUUCCAGCACGGCCAACCCGAGGGAUCAUUCUUCUGAGGUCCGCGUCAUCAUCAGGGACAUCUCGGGAAAGUACUCGUGGGACGGCGGUGUUCUGUUCCGCACUUUGGACGGAACUGGCUUGAGUUUGGGUGGCAGCAGAGAUCAGUCGUCUCACGACGGCGCUCGCUCUGAAAAGCAGGGCUCCAUGCGCUCCAGUAAAUGCUCCUCUGAGCUGGAAGUGGAAGAUGGCGUGGAUGUGUUGGACCAGCUUCUGGAAGACCUUGGCCACAGCAGCCCCGAGUGCCUGCCGCAGCCCCAGCUGAGGCUCACCCAGCCGCCCUCUCCACCCAUCGGCAUGAACCCUGAGAUGGAAGGGCUCAUCAUGGAUGCCAUCCACAGACAGGCCAAGCAGGAGGACGAGGAGCUGGCCCGGCUACAGACCGAAGACCCCAGCAUCAGAGCAGAGAGACAGAGAGAGCCCACGCACCACGAGCCUAAAUCUGCUUUUUACCUCUGCAGACUUCUCCUCAACGACCUCGGCAUGAACUCAUGGGAUCGCAGAAAAAGCUUUCAUCUUCUAAAGAAGAACUCUAAGCUCUUGAGAGAGCUGAAGAAUUUAGACUCGAGGCAGUGUCGAGAGACGCACAAGAUUGCCGUGUUCUACAUUGGAGAAGGCCAGGAGGACAAAUACUCCAUUCUGUCCAACACAGAGGGCAGUCAGGCCUAUGAGGACUUUGUCUCUGGGCUGGGAUGGGAGGUGAAUCUGGCCACUCACUGUGGGUUUAUGGGUGGUUUGCAGAGAAACGGCAGCACAGGUAGCACGGCACCAUAUUACGCUACCUCCAACGUGGAGGUCAUCUUCCAUGUGUCGACUCGCAUGCCUUCUGACUCAGAUGACUCCAUCACCAAAAAGCUUCGUCACUUGGGAAACGAUGAAGUGCACAUUGUGUGGUCGGAGCACACGCGGGAUUACAGACGAGGAAUCAUUCCCACCGACUUCGGAGAUGUCCUCAUCAUCAUCUACCCCAUGAAAAACCACAUGUUCUUUGUUCAGAUCUUGAAAAAAACCCAGGUUCCUUUCUUUGGGCCUCUGUUCGACGGGGCGAUAGUGACUGGAACGCUGUUGCCGAGUCUGGUGCGGGCCACAUGCAUCAAUGCCAGCAGGGCUGUGAAGUCUCGACUGCCACUAUACCAGAGUUUUUAUGAGGAGAGGGCUCUCUACCUGGAGGCCAUCAUUCAGAACCACAAGGAGAACAUGACCUUUGAGGACUUUGCUGCCCAGGUCUUCUCGCCUUCCCCCAGCUACUGGUGCACGGACCGCUCAGGCGCUUCAUUUUAA